AUUGAACGCUGGCGGCAGGCCUAACACAUGCAAGUCGAGCGGAUGCACGGAGCUUGCUCCUGCAUUCAGCGGCGGACGGGUGAGUAAUGCCUAGGAAUCUGCCUGGUAGUGGGGGAUAACGUCCGGAAACGGGCGCUAAUACCGCAUACGUCCUGAGGGAGAAAGUGGGGGAUCUUCGGACCUCACGCUAUCAGAUGAGCCUAGGUCGGAUUAGCUAGUUGGUGGGGUAAAGGCCUACCAAGGCGACGAUCCGUAACUGGUCUGAGAGGCUGAUCAGACACACUGGAACUGAGACACGGUCCAGACUCCUACGGGAGGCAGCAGUGGGGAAUAUUGGACAAUGGGCGAAAGCCUGAUCCAGCCAUACCGCGUGUGUGAAGAAGGUCUUCGGAUUGUAAAGCACUUUAAGUUGGGAGGAAGGGCAGUAAGUUAAUACCUUGCUGUUUUGACGGUACCAAAAGAAUAAGCACCGGCUAACUUCGUG
RNAcentral lists this ribosomal RNA (484 nucleotides) under uncultured bacterium. RNAcentral's name for it is "partial 16S ribosomal RNA". It matches the Rfam family "Bacterial small subunit ribosomal RNA", at positions 30 to 507 of the family's 1533-position model. The record is from RNAcentral.